Molecule: long non-coding RNA, 1457 nt
Filed under: Androctonus crassicauda
Lineage: Eukaryota; Metazoa; Arthropoda; Arachnida; Scorpiones; Buthidae
Source: RNAcentral
AAAAGAUGUUACUUUUUUUUUGUAGGCUAUCUUAAAACCUGUAUCAUAAUAUAAUUGGAACCAUUUUAAUCUCAGCAUUAAAAGAAAAAAAUCAUUGUCAACUAAUAAGAAAGGUGAAAGAGAUUAAAUUAAGACUUAUGAAUAAAGAAAAAUUAGAGACAGGAGCAAUGAAAAUAACAACCAAGCAUACUAAAAAAAUGGUUGCUAGAAGAGAAUUUGGUAUGCACAAAAGAUGACAAAUCAAAAAAACUUGUAACUAUGAGAAGAGAAAGAUAUAAUAAUAUGGUAAAAAAAGUUAUUAAAGAAAUAGGUUCCAUCCCUCUAGAUAAAGACACUACAAAGGAUUUGUAAAAAAGAACAUUCAGUCUUCUAAAGAACCAAGAUUUAUCACAGUUUCUAAAAAACUCAAAGUUAGUGGCAUCAGCAUGUCCCUGCAUGUUCAGCUUUGUCAAACUCCAUAAAACUCCAUUGAAGAUUUGCUUGAUCAUGGAAAAAAUAAAAAUCCAACCUAUAUCCUUGAAAAGAACUUGGCAAGAUUGUGCAGAGGCAACAUGCAAGGCUAUGGACUCAUAACUACGUCAUUCUCAACCUUUGUUAAUGAUUUAAGUAAUAAAGACCCCUUCCCCUAUGAAAUGUUAACAGUAUAUGACUUUGAAUCUCUAUAGUCAUCUAUAUCCAUAGAACCAGCUAGCAUACAGACUAAUGACAGAGCAUUUGAAAAAUUCUGAAAGAAGUACCAAGUGUAUCAAAGAAAUAUGUGAUUUGGUGUAUAAUCAAUCAUACUUUACAUUUCAUGGUGAGUAUUAUAAACAAAAAACAAGACGUCCCUAUCAGAAAUCCAAUGGUAGUUAUAUAUUAGCUAAACUAGUGAUCAAGGAAGGAAGUGUAAUACUAAGAUUCGUGACAAGAAUAAAAAAAAUAUAAAAUAUACUUGGAUGAUAUUUGUGUAAUAUGAGAAAGGCAGGAUGACCCAAAAGUUCUAGAAGAGUUUAUGUUGGACAAUACACUAGGACUCCAUUUAAUAUUGGAUCAUGGAAGCACUAGGAAGAUAAACUUCUUAGAUGUUCAAGUAAAAAUAAAAGGAGGCUCUUAUAAAACUAAAGUAUGCCACAAACUGACCUACAUAACAUUGUUUAUACCAAGCAUGUCAACAGCCAAACUGAUUCAUAAAGCAUCUGUCUUUAGAACCCUCUUUUGAAGAGUCUUUACAUAUUGCAGUACAAGAGUAGAUAGAGACACAGAAAUAGACAAAAUCACAAGGAAAAACUCAGGUAAAAUAACAGUUUUCUGAAAAAAUACUAUCCUCUAUAAUAAAAAGUUUGAACUCAAAGAGGAAAAAACCCCACUGAAAGAUGUCAGAGAUAGAAGCAUUGAUUAUCAAUCAUACUUACAAACUGUUUAUAGAAACAUAGAAAAUGCUACAAGUUUUAAAAUAGCAUAUAAAAUGAAAAGUAUUA